Molecule: transfer RNA, 69 nt
Filed under: Ictidomys tridecemlineatus (thirteen-lined ground squirrel)
Lineage: Eukaryota; Metazoa; Chordata; Mammalia; Rodentia; Sciuridae
Description: Spermophilus tridecemlineatus (thirteen-lined ground squirrel) tRNA
Rfam family: tRNA
About the family: Transfer RNA (tRNA) molecules are approximately 80 nucleotides in length.
Source: Rfam by way of RNAcentral
GGGAUUGUGGCUCAGUGGUGGAGCGCUUGCCUAGCAUGUAUGAGGCCCUGGAUUCGAUCCUCAGCACCA